GACGAACGCUGGCGGCGUGCCUAACACAUGCAAGUCGAGCGGAGAUAAGCGGAAGGUAACUGAAGCUUAUCUUAGCGGCGGACGGGUGAGUAACACGUGGGCAACCUGCCUUGAAGUGGGGGAUAACACCGGGAAAUCGGUGCUAAUACCGCAUAACAUACACAAACUGCAUGGUAAGUGUAUCAAAGGAGCAAUCCGCUUUAAGAUGGGCCCGCGGCUGAUUAGCUAGUUGUAAGGUAACGGCUUACCAAGGCGACGAUCAGUAGCCGACCUGAGAGGGUGACCGGCCACACUGGAACUGAGAUACGGUCCAGACUCCUACGGGAGGCAGCAGUGGGGAAUAUUGGGCAAUGGGGGAAACCCUGACCCAGCGACGCCGCGUGGGUGAAGAAAUCCUUCGGGAUGUAAAGCCCUGUUGUAUGGGAAGAGCGGAAGACGGUACCAAUACGAGGAAGCCCCGGCAAACUACGUGCCAGCAGCCGCGGUAAACUAGGUCUACG
RNAcentral lists this ribosomal RNA (500 nucleotides) under uncultured bacterium. RNAcentral describes it as "bacterial SSU rRNA". It matches the Rfam family "Bacterial small subunit ribosomal RNA", at positions 28 to 536 of the family's 1533-position model. The record is from RNAcentral.